AGUUCCAGGUUGCUCUUGGGUGGAGCCCAAGAGAAGACAUAUAUAUGUAUAUUUUUUUAAAUAGAGAUGGGGUCUUUCUAUGUUGGCCAGGGUAGUCUCUAACUUCUGGCAUCAAGAAAUCCUCCUGCCUAAGACCUAUAUUUCUAUUUAUGUUUCAGAUGAGAAACGAAUGAGAAGUGAAUUUUCAUUAAGCCAGUGUCUAAUGGUGUUCAAAUUCAUCUUUGAACCAGAUGCUACAUCCAAAUAGACGGGCUUGGGACAGAAUAUAAGGUGGUGGAUACCAUACAGGCAGACAUUGCCUUCACUGGGCCAUUAGUCAAAAGCUCUGUGGCUUUGUCUGUUCUGAACCUAUGUUUCAUCUCUGAGAUUCAUGGUCUGAGUAUAUUUACUUGGACUUGACCAGGCAUGCAGUAUACCCUUAUCCUGGAGAUGAUCUCAAUGCCAGAGUGUGGAGGCAUUUUCUCUGGCACUAUUUGUCAUCUCUAAAGAAAGAAUCUACUAUUUUAUUAUACUUUUUUGUUUAUUUGUAUAAAUUUAAGGAGCGCAAGUGAAAUUUUAUUACGUGGAUAUUUUGUGUAGUGGUGAAGUCUGGGCU
RNAcentral lists this long non-coding RNA (595 nucleotides) under Homo sapiens (human). RNAcentral's name for it is "HSALNT0398736". Lineage: Eukaryota; Metazoa; Chordata; Mammalia; Primates; Hominidae. The record is from RNAcentral.